Zea mays is the source of this 1279-nucleotide long non-coding RNA. RefSeq lists it as uncharacterized. The record is from RefSeq and is a predicted model, not a curated record. The transcript is spliced from 3 exons. Lineage: Eukaryota; Viridiplantae; Streptophyta; Magnoliopsida; Poales; Poaceae.
AUUCUCGUGGUGGCUCUCGGCCUCUCAUUUCGUCCGUCACUCCCACAGUCCAGCAGCACCUAUGGCGGCUAGGGUUUGCGUCGGCGGCUAAGAACCAUUGCUGCUCACGCGCCCACGCUCCAUCGCCUCCAUCCCCACUCGCCCAAGCUCCAUUGCCUCCAUCCCCACUCGCUCACAGCUCUGCAUCGCCGGGACGUGUCGGCAGUGGAUCCGGAGCCGGUGACGCGAUCUGCAGCUACGAAGGAGAGAGGUAAAAGGAAGAGGGACGUCUACUUUGACGCGGUGCCGCGGAUGUGGUGGCCGCCAAUGGCUUGAGCGCGCGGGAGCGAGAGAGGGCGACGAGCAGGCCGUAUGCGGGAGCGCCAGCGGAUUGAGCGAGCGACAGAGGGAGGAGGGCCUGUGGGCCUUUGCCUAGCGACAUCGGCAGUCCGCCUGCAGCCGCGGAUUCUGCCUGCGGCUGCGUCUCUGGCUCUCGCCCCGACCGACUUUUUCAAGGGAGGAGCGGCUGCAAGCAGCGGCAGCGCAUAAAGAAGUCGUUAUCUUGAACGUGCAUCGGUAGAUUGCGCGUGGGAGCGGGAGAGGGCGACGAGCAAGCCGUAUGCGGGAGCGCCAGUGGCUUGAGCGACCAGAAGCUCGUGCUCGGCGAGUGGAAUUUUGAUCAGCAGACGACACUGCUCCCUGACACUAGGAUUUCGCUCAGAACAGAAGCUACCACGCGCGCAGGUGCCUGAGCAGCAAAGCGUGCACUGGCCAUGCAUGCAUGUCCAUCACACCCUGGCCAGUGCCCACCCUCCACGCCGGCCAUGUAGCGGAGCCCAGCAUGGCGGCUGACAAUGGAUCUCGACGAACGAUGGCAUCCCGCGUGGCGACGAUCAUAUAUCGAGGGCAUGCAUGCAUGGUGGGCACCCGAUCAACGUCACGGCCGCUGGCGCCUGGCGGCGUCGCAUCAUUCUACGACUACGCAUAGUGCGCGUGUCGCUGGUGGCAUCUUGUUGUCUACAUGCAUGUGUCUUCGGGCCGGCGGCGACCCCACGACGGAGACGGCGACGAUAGAUACAUGAGUGCAUGAUGAUACCACCCAAAUUAAAAGAGAGGCAAAGGCGAGGUGCGGACAGCGCUGCAGGGGAUAGCUAGCUAGCUAGGCAGCCGCGUCAUCCAUCACUACUGCACAAAGCGGCGUUAAUUAGGGACCGAUUAUUAGUAGUCGAUUUCCAACUGAUAUUGUAUAACUAGAACUAAAAAUAUUUUAGUCUUUUAUUGUAUAUGAUGAGUACACCGA